Molecule: ribosomal RNA, 497 nt
Filed under: uncultured bacterium
Lineage: Bacteria
Description: partial 16S ribosomal RNA
Rfam family: Bacterial small subunit ribosomal RNA
Source: RNAcentral
GAUGAACGCUGGCGGCGUGCCUAAUACAUGCAAGUCGAGCGAACAGACGAGGAGCUUACUCCUCUGACGUUAGCGGCGGACGGGUGAGUAACACGUGGAUAACCUACCUAUAAGACUGGGAUAACUUCGGGAAACCGGAGCUAAUACCGGAUAACAUAUUGAACCGCAUGGUUCAAUAGUGAAAGACGGUUUUGCUGUCACUUAUAGAUGGAUCCGCGCCGCAUUAGCUAGUCGGUAAGGUAACGGCUUACCAAGGCAACGAUGCGUAGCCGACCUGAGAGGGUGAUCGGCCACACUGGAACUGAGACACGGUCCAGACUCCUACGGGAGGCAGCAGUAGGGAAUCUUCCGCAAUGGGCGAAAGCUUGACGGAGCAACGCCGCGUGAGUGAUGAAGGUCUUCGGAUCGUAAAACUCUGUUAUUAGGGAAGAACAAAUGUGUAAGUAACUAUGCACGUCUUGACGGUACCUAAUCAGAAAGCCACGGCUAACUACGUG